Aedes aegypti (yellow fever mosquito) is the source of this 45-nucleotide non-coding RNA. NCBI's taxonomy places the organism in Eukaryota, Metazoa, Arthropoda, Insecta, Diptera, Culicidae. The record is from Rfam.
CCAUCGGCCCUUGUCGGGGCCAUCAAAUUUGUCGAAAAGAAGUUG